Non-coding RNA from Pocillopora verrucosa, 398 nucleotides. The record is from RefSeq and is a predicted model, not a curated record. Lineage: Eukaryota; Metazoa; Cnidaria; Anthozoa; Scleractinia; Pocilloporidae.
GUUGUGUUGGUAAGUGCGACUGCAGCAUAAAACAAUCUAGCGGAGAAAUGAAACAAACACUAUUCAGGAAAGAUGUCUAACAUGUGGACUUUCAUUUUUGUUUUGGUUGCAAUAAUCGCGGGAGCAUAUUCCCGAUAUAUCCCAGACUUUGACACAACCCACCGUCUUCAAGUAGAAAAAGGGCGAUAUGUGGAAAUAGAAUUGGGGCUUUAUUUGCCCCCUGACUUACCUGGAGCACCUUGUGCUGAUGAGGAAUAUCUUGAGAUCCGUGAUGGGUAUAAUCAGUCUGGAAAUCUUUUGGGUGUAUUUUGUGGAAGAUACGUUCCUCGCUUUAAACUACGUUCCAGUGGACAGAACAUGUGGUUAAGAUUUUCACCUCACCGUAGAUACCGGCUAUG